RNAcentral lists this long non-coding RNA (7649 nucleotides) under Capsicum annuum. RNAcentral's name for it is "long non-coding RNA (CANN_LNC017536)". The record is from RNAcentral. Lineage: Eukaryota; Viridiplantae; Streptophyta; Magnoliopsida; Solanales; Solanaceae.
UGGUGUUGACUGGGACUGAGCUGCUAAGGGUACUCUGGAUCUCAUUCCUUUAAACCUAUGGUGUCAAAUAAAACACCAUAGUGCAAAUGCAUCAGUUUAGAAAUAAACCAAGUAUGAAGAUGAGGUAAGUCUAAAUGCAAACGAUUAUGCAUGACCAAUUACUUAAAUAAAUAAUCAUGAGAGUACUGAAUAAGAAUAUAUACAUGAAUGCAUAAAUAAUAACUGAAAUAAUUGUGACACAAAAUACUAAAAUUCAGAUACCACUUUACUAUCAUCUAAAAUCACAACUAAUAUUGAGAUACUAAAUAAUUGAAUCUCCUGAUAUUGAUAACCGAAUGCUCGAGUUGACAUCAGUAUUCUCUAGUGAGUAAUCUAAAAAAUUGAUGUUACUAAAGUUGAUUAACUGAAUCUACUCACAUGAAUAACUGCACUCUGAACUUGCUAAUCUCAACUGAUUGAAUCGGAGAUCAAACCUCUCUAAUAGAUUAUCCCUAAAACCAAUAUCAAUGAAAAAAUAAGACUUUAUUUAGGAUCGAACCUAUCUAGAGAAGGAUUUCUGAAUUUGAUAAUGAGAAUACUCAACUGAAUCUAAGACUGAGAUCAAGCCUAUCUAAUGGGUAAUCUUUGGAUGAGAUAAUGAGAUUACUCAACUGAAUCAAAUACUGAGAUUAAGCCUAUUUAACGGGUGAUCUCUAGAUCUAAUAAUUAGAUUACUUAACUGAAUCUAAGACUGAGAUCAAACCUAUCUAAUGGGUGAUCUCUGGAUAUGAUAAUUAGAUUACUUAACUAAAUUUGAGACUGAGAUCAAGCCUAUCUAACGGGUAAACUUUGGAUCUCAUAAUACUGAUAUUAAAUAUCUUUACAUGAGACCAUCCCUAACUGGUGGGUGAUCCAUAAAUCAUUGAUACUAUCUGAGUUCCUUACUGAGAUAGGUGACAGUGUUUGACAGUCCUAAUUUUUGAGUUCUACUCUGAAGAUUGAUACUAAAACUUUAAUAGUGGGAGUUCUCACUUAACUGACAUGCCCCAAAUCUAAACUGGUUGGGUCCAACCGUUAACCCUAGCUGGAAGGGUGUAAAUACCGUGGCACAGGUAAAGAACACUACUCUGAUCAAGCCUCUCUAAUGGGUGACCCUCACAGGAAGUAAAGCCUAAGGCAGUAUAAUAGUAAAGCCUUAUUCUAAUGGAUUACUCCUUCUUCUGCACUGUCUAUGCAGUUCUAGAAUUUAGAGAUUUCUCCUAAAGACUCUGCCUCUCUAAGGAGGAGCCAUCAUCCCUUCACUUGCUCAGUGCUAGCUCCUACUCCCAACUAAAAGAUUGUAAAUCAAUUCUUAAUUGUUCUUAAACUAAGCUAAAUCUAUUACCGAUCAUUUUUCUCAAAUGAUCUGACUGAGUUAUGCUAAAUUUACUUAGUUUUGUAUCUGACGGAAUACUAUUGAAUUUCGUUAUCUAACUGAAUGAUACUGAGUUCCAAACUGAACACUUGAAUACUACUAGAUCUGAGCUGAGUACGAACUAAAACUAGAAUACUAUCUAUACUGAGAUUACUAAGAUUUUUUAAGAUUUGUAUUUGUUUGAGAGUACAGAGUUCUAUAAUUCACUAAGUUCUGAGAAUUGUGGCUUGACUGAGAUUAUUGUGAAAACUAACACUGGCUAUAGACUGUAGCUAAAUUGUUGGCUAUAAAUACCCUAGGACUCGAUAACAUAAAAAUAAAACAUAACCAUUCUUGAAUAAUCAAGACCAUGGACAUUUAUUCACCAUCACAAUCACUAAAGCAUAUCUUCAAGCAUUUAGGAAUCAUUAACAUGUGAUAAUAUAGGGAGACAUGCUAUUGACUCAUACCCCAUUAAACAAAGUCUUGCAUUAAACACUUAGCAUGCAUUGAAGAACACAUAAUUGGGGGAUUUCAUGCUAUCAUGCCAUAAUUUAUUCACUAAGGCUUUUCAACAAAUACUUGGCAUGCAUAGGCUUGCGCACAAUUGGGGAUUUUAAGUCAUUAUUCUAUAAUGGCUCUAAUUUCAUAACCUAAGCAUUUAAUCAAACUUAUGGGGAGCAUGCAUUGCUUAUUCAACAAUUUAUAAACUUCAUUGACAUGAACACAUCAUGUAACAACCCACUUGAAGAGUGUUUAUCAUGCAUAUCACAUGAAUUUCACAUACAAGGAUCAAAGCUUGAAAACCUUGUUAACAAACAUGAAUUAAAAUUCAAUAAUAGCAUGAAUUUUAAUUUCAAUUCACAUGAAUCAUAAAAACUCGUAAAACAUAAACUUUAAAAUUUUGAAAAUAAUUCUUGAAUUUCUUGGGUGGAAGGAACCAAAGAAUCAACAUCCAACAUGCCUUAGAAGACUCUUUCUUGAAGGUUCUUAAAGAAAUUCUUAGGCUCGUUCUUGAUUUCUUGACUAAGGUUCUUGACUUCUUGAGAUAGAAAAUAUUUUGGUUUGGGAAUAAAUUGAUGAAUAAUGAAGAAUUUUCAUUAGUUCGGGUAUAAAUCCCUUAUAUAGACUGGUUAAGGCUUUAGGGAAAUUACUAAACAGCCCCUAAAAUUAAAUAAUGGAAUCUAAACAUCCCGAUUUCUCAUACUGGUGCGACGCGGUGGAAUUGCACCAGCUCACUGGAAACUGGACAAUUGGGAAACUGGUUUGUGGUGCAAUGCAGUAGAAAUUGCGUUGCCACCUUGGUUGCAAACUGGAAAGGCACCAUGACGCGGUAUUAUCGUGUUGGUGCCCUAGAAAUUGACAACUCUAAAAUUGAGCCUUGGCACAAGGUGCCAUAGUCACUGAGGCUCACUAGAUUUUGACGAUUGUAAUUUUAGCUAGCUCCACGAUGCGCUAAAGUACCAGGUGGUACAUGUCUUACUAAAAUGUCUCUAACUCUUUACCCUAGUAUUGGAUUUGGGUGAAUUUGGUAUCAAUGAAAAGCUUAUUCGAUUUCCCAUGUGAUAAAAUAUCAAAAUCUUAUAAAUUUCACAUGGAAUAAAAUAUAUUCAUCUUUGAAGCAAGAUAUUUGAUGUUCUGGAGACAAAUUUAAACUAGGAGAAGUAUGGGGUAUUACACUGCCUCAUAGUACACACAUCGUACAUAUACAUAUUCUUAAACUGCAUAGUAGAAAAAAAUAGAAAACCCACACAAAAACACACAUACUCCUCCAUCCAUUCACUAAAUUCCCUUCACAAUACAUAUAUCGGGAGGAAUAUUGACACUCCUCAAUUUAUAUUCCACACAAUUACACACAAUACUUUUAUAGAAAACAUUCACGCACAUAGUACUUCAUUAAUACACUCUCACGCACCAUAUUCAUGCACUCACAUAUUGAUACACUACACACAAAAGAAAAGAAGAGGGAAAAGAAAGGUGUAGAGAGAAUUGAGAGAGAUAGUGAUUGAGAGGGAGAGAAAUAGUUAAGGCAGAUUCAUUCUAGUGACCAAAGUUUGUCGGCAUUUUGGGUCAUGAAAACUGUGGUUCUGAGCUUACCAUUGUCAAACCCAUUAGAAAACAUCGCCAACGAUAGAUCAGCAAUCGAUUUUGGUGACCAACACCUCAAAAAUAGUUCAAACAGCCUAGAAAUCCACCAAAAUUAGUAACCUCCGCUGAUUGGAAAAUAGGUCAGUGAAAAAAACACCAGCAGAAGGUGUGGCUCUAGCUAUCAUUUGCCAAAAACCAACCCAUAAUUUGAAAAAAGUUGAAAUUCUAUCCAGGAUUUAGGUAUGGAUUAGAUUCAAAUUUUUCAGAAGUUAUUGAGCUGCCGAGGUUGACAUCUAGGCUAGCUCGAAGAUCCAAAUCGACAAAGUUACUUUGUUUAAUAGAAAAUAAUUCAUCAAAUUGAGGUCCAAUUCUAUUCUCUCUCUUUCAUUUUAUUAUUUGUUAUAUUCGAUGCAUUGAAUUAAACAGGGCAUGUUGGUUGAUCUGUGAUGAUGUGAAUUAUUGGUUGCUUUGAUUCAGUUCUUGAUUUCCUUUAUUAUGAAUUAAUUAUGUGUUUUGUGAUGAAAUAAUAUCUCAUGAAGAAUUAAAAUAACUUAUUUAGGGUGGGAAUAGAAAAUUGAUAAAGGUGAAUAUUGGUUAUUCUGAUGCAUUGAUGAUUGUAUAAUUUGGAGUAAAUAUUAAAGUUUAUUAAAUGCAAUAAUAUCAUGAUGGGUUGAAAUUAGUAGGUAAAUUGUCGGUCGGGUAGGAAAAUUUAGGAAUUGAGAAUUGUUGGAUGCCUCAAAAUAUUUGUGGAAUGGAUUGUCUUUCUCGUAUUUGGAUAAUAUUUUCAUUUAGAGGGGGAAUGCCCCGAGGUCAUUUGUAUUUUUUCAUCGAAGAAUGCCCUAAAAAUCUUAUACGUGAAGAAUGUUCGUGACCAAGGACCGAGGCAUUGUGUAAAGCAUAUUAAUAGGAUUAGUAUAGGUUAGUGAUGCUUUAUUUCAGUACAUUUUAUUUUGGACUAUAAUAACUAGAUUGGAUACUAUUUUUUGGACUUGUUUUGUUUGGCAUGGUUGUUUUGUUUGUUUUGUAUGUUUUAUAUGGUUUAUUCACCUCGUAGCAUCUACUAGUUGGUAUACUCUACCGAGCGAUCGUGGUCGAACCACUGGACCGAGAGGUUCUAACACCUCCUCGAUCAACAAAAUUCCUUAAUUGGAUUCUCUAUUCGCGGAUCAAUUUUAAAGAUUAAAACUUUAUUUUGAAAAAGUAUUUCCAAAGGUGACUUGACACACCAAAUUCAUGAAAAAAGAUUUUAAAAGUCGCGACUCUGAGUUCAAAUGAAAAAAAUCCUAUCAUUUAAUAAUAGAAACCCUUUAAAACUUAAAAUCAUAAUCAUUUUCGGUAAAAAAAAAGAGGUGUGACAGCUCUGGCGACUUUGCUGGAGAUUUUUUAGAAUUCAAGCUUAUUUUUUAGUUGUAUCACCAUGGCUUGACACUAUAGGUGUAUAAACAGUUUGUCAUUAUUGAUAUUAUUAUUUUAUCAUUGUUGGAUGCGUUUGUGCUACGUGUUUAUAGUUUUCUCUUAGAUUUACCACUUAUAUCCUGUAUCAUAUGCAUUACUCUGAGUUAUUUUGUUCUAUAACAAGUUGUGAAGUACAUGUCGUGUACAUGAAUGCUAGUUGAGUCACCCUUAUUUUAGGAAGCGAUCCAUUAGAUGUAUGGAGUAGGUGGAAAGUAAUCACAGCCUCUAUCGACCAUAAGCUCCUCCAAACAGCCUUAUUAGUUGACCCCAGCCUAGUUCAACCUUUAGGUCAUGCUUAUCUGCAUCAUAUUUAGUACUACCGUUUGCUACCAUGUGCUAAUUGCUGCUUCUUAGAGGGUAAUAGGUUCUUUUGACAGACUGAUUUAGAGAAAAGCAUGUGUUUAGGAAAGAAUAAUUCAAAAAAAAAAGGAAAAAGAACAAAUGUAAGGUGAAUCAAAAAAGAGUUUCUUAGCUUUUAGACUUCUUUAUGUCUUCUGUUUUUCAUAAUUCAAAAAUUCAAAAAGAUUUUCUUAGCCUUUGCAGUCAUUUCUCAAAAACAUUAAAAAUAUUUUCCUUUUGUUUCUUUAGUAAGCAUUGAAAAUUCAAAAAAUUUCAAAAAAGAUUUUUCUUAAAAGGAGCUUUUAAUAAAGGAAAAAAAAUGCAAGGAAAUGGUAGAAGUUUUGUACAUUUCAUAUAAUGAAAUACCAAAAAAAAUUUCCUUUCAUAUUUAUUGGUGUCAUUUUUAUGUUAAGUGUCUAGUUGAAAACUCAAAAAAGAUUUUAUGGAAAUUUUUCAUCAUUUAUCUUGAUCGUGUCUCUCAAGUUAUGGUUCAUUCUGUCUAUUAUUGUUUAAGUGUCCAAUCUGGACGAACUACACACACCUGAUUCUUCUCUCUUGGGAGUGAGAUACGUAGGCUGACAUUCGUGGGUUCGGUGAUCUUAUUUAAAAAAUCCAAAAAUAUUUUCUUUAGUCUUCAUUUUGAGUAGGUGUUUCAUAUACAUAUUUAAUAGAAAACUACAAAAAAAUUACUUUAACAGGUUCAAGUUUCAUUUUCAUAUUAAAUUCAAAAUUGAAACCCAAAAAGAUUUUUUUUGAUAAUCAUAGGUUUAAUUUCAUAUAGGAUUUUAAAGGUGAAAAAUUCAAAAAAUAUUUUCAUCAAUUCUUUUGACAAUUUGUUAUUUUCUUUUCUUCUAAAAAUUUUGUGAAAAAAAAAAGACUUCGAUCGGCCAUGUUAUGCCAAAACUUCACAAAGUACACACACCUGAUUCUCCUCUUCCAGGAGUGAGAUAUGUAGGCACCCUUCUAGGGUUUGGUGAUCUUUUCAGAAGAAAAAAAAAGGAAAAAGAGGUUUUGAGAAAGUGUCACACUCUAAAACAUUUGUUAUCUCCUGUUUAGUUAGUUUAAGGUGGUUAGUUUGUGGCAUGCUAGAUGGUCCUCCACAACACACCAGGUCUAUGGAACAAUUUAUUAUGGCCAACAAGGAUAUAGAAAGUUAUAUCACGGAUCAAACAAAGUGUUGGGAAAAUGAGAGCUCAAACUAGGAGAUUUUGAGACUAAGGAAAUAAAUAAUGGAAAUGUAUUGAUCUUAGGCCAGUGGGCUACCUUCUCCUCCAUUCCCCACUAUUGACACUGCCAAUACCUUGAGCUUUCCAUCACAAUUGCAAUGUCAUUUUCCUACUGUUGUUGAUACACCACAACAUGCCUCAAAAUCCAUCCAUUUCAAAUGCAUCCCAAAAAUUUCACCACUCUUUCUUUAGCUCCUUAUUAUAAGCCUACCACAUUCGCAGAACCAUAUAUUGUCUGUGCUUUUAUUGCUCAACCUUCUACUGAGCCCCCCACUUUGCUAUCAAACAAACGAUUCUGCUUCCCUAAUCUGCUAAAGAACCUAUGUUUAAUACUAUUGGUGAUCUCUGUUACACUCUUGAGCCUACAGUUAAGUUAUUUGGACAACAAAAAUUUCUUACCAAGAAGCAUAGCAUGCCAGAUGAGGUAGUGAAAAUCAUUGGGAAAGUGAAGAAUGUAAAAAAUGAUACAAAAAUUUCCUUUGGAAUUGCAGGUUAUUAGGAUGUUUCAUCUUAAAAUUGGGGAAUGUUUUCAAGUGUUAACCUUCCUCGAAGCUUUAAGGCAUCAAAAUCGGUGGAGAAUGAUGGGAAUGAGGCUACUGUGAAAUAUUUUGGAUGAUAUUGCAAUCAAUCAAGCAAAACUGAAGGAAAAAAAAAAGAAAAACACACCUAUUGUUGUGCAAAGGCCAAAGCACAGUUUGUGAGGUCCAACUCACCAAUACUGUCAGCCUCAAUACCAAGCUUACAUAUUAGAUCCACAUGCUCACCUGCAAUAAGGUUCCUCUUUAAAAUAUCAAAGAUAUUCCAUUCCACUUCCUCAGUAAAUGCACAAUGGUAUACUCAUAUGUCUUCUUAUCCAUAAUGGCGUGUAAUGGUCCCUCAACAUCAUCCUCGAACCCCACAUAUUUACCAAGGAACUUCUAAUUCCAUGCUUCAACUAAGGCCAAAGUUUGCAAAAAUGAGGAAAUCAAAGGAUAAUUUUACACCAUUUAAGGAAUUGUAUGCCAGUUUAUUUAAGAGAUUUAGACAUUUGGUCAUGAUCACUCCUUUCAUUGGGUGUACUCCUGAUCCACAUUCAAGAAUUUUUGGUCCUCAUGUAAGAUAUAAAUAUCUUAUUGAUAUCCAGGGUCACAGUAUUGAAGAUUGUAGUGCUUUGAAAAGAGAAAUAAAAA